Octodon degus (degu) is the source of this 106-nucleotide small nuclear RNA. The record is from Ensembl. Lineage: Eukaryota; Metazoa; Chordata; Mammalia; Rodentia; Octodontidae.
AUGCUCGCUUCAGCAGCACAUAUACUACAAUUGGAGCAAUACCAAGAAGACUAGCACGGUCCCUGUGCAAGAACCUCCCUCAUCUAGAGUCCUAUUCACUCUUCUU